AGAGUUUGAUCAUGGCUCAGGACGAACGCUGGCGGCGUGCUUAACACAUGCAAGUCGAACGGGGUGUUUAUUUCGGUAAACACCAAGUGGCGAACGGGUGAGUAACGCGUAAGCAAUCUACCUUCAAGAUGGGGACAACACUUCGAAAGGGGUGCUAAUACCGAAUGAAUGUAAGAGUAUCGCAUGAGACACUUACUAAAGGAGGCCUCUGAAAAUGCUUCCGCUUGAAGAUGAGCUUGCGUCUGGUUAGCUAGUUGGUGAGGGUAAAGGCCCACCAAGGCGACGAUCAGUAGCCGGUCUGAGAGGAUGAACGGCCACAUUGGGACUGAGACACGGCCCAGACUCCUACGGGAGGCAGCAGUGGGGAAUCUUCCGCAAUGGGCGAAAGCCUGACGGAGCAACGCCGCGUGAACGAUGAAGGUCUUAGGAUCGUAAAGUUCUGUUGUUAGGGACGAAGGAUAAGAAUCAUAAUACGGUUUUUAUUUGACGGUACCUAACGAGGAAGCCACGGCUAACUACGUGCCAGCAGCCGCGGUAAUACGUAGGCGGCAAGCGUUGUCCGGAAUUAUUGGGCGUAAAGGGAGCGCAGGCGGGAAACUAAGCGGAUCUUAAAAGUGCGGGGCUCAACCCCGUGAUGGGGUCCGAACUGGUUUUCUUGAGUGCAGGAGAGGAAAGCGGAAUUCCCAGUGUAGCGGUGAAAUGCGUAGAUAUUGGGAAGAACACCAGUGGCGAAGGCGGCUUUCUGGACUGUAACUGACGCUGAGGCUCGAAAGCUAGGGUAGCGAACGGGAUUAGAUACCCUGGUAGUC
RNAcentral lists this ribosomal RNA (809 nucleotides) under uncultured bacterium. Its description in RNAcentral is "bacterial SSU rRNA". It matches the Rfam family "Bacterial small subunit ribosomal RNA", at positions 8 to 795 of the family's 1533-position model. The record is from RNAcentral.